UCCUUGUCCUCUGUUUGAUUC
This 21-nucleotide non-coding RNA is filed under the name Arabidopsis thaliana (thale cress). The record is from RNAcentral. Lineage: Eukaryota; Viridiplantae; Streptophyta; Magnoliopsida; Brassicales; Brassicaceae.